UUUCAGCUCUCUCUCUACCCGAGACCUUCUCUCUCUACCUUCUCGCCGGAAAUCGCCCCACCGCCGCUGGAAAAUGCCAAAACCUCCAAAUUUUCUUGAUUUCUUCUUCUCCUCUACCCAAAUCUAAGCAUGAUAUCAUGAGAUAAAGCCUCAAAGCCAUGAAAUCUCUCAAACCCUAAAGCAAACAAGAGGGGUUCUCAAGAUUUCUCCGUUCAUAGGUUGAUUUGAGAUUAUUUGGAGAUAUCUCCAAGUUAGUAGUCAUAAUCAAAGAGAGGAGUAAAAUCGUCAUCUUUGGAGAUAGAGUGUUGUCAGAGGAACCAAGGAGGAGAUCGAUUGAGUUUUUGGUGAAAUCCUAAGGGGACUCGAGUUCAUGUAGGAAACUUUAGCGAAGUGGACCAAAGUGGAGACACGCCUAUUAUAUCCAGUUUCAUCAACCUGUGUUUAGUCCAUGUGACACCAAGACAAAGAAAAACAAAUCCCAUAGUCCCUGCACACACAGAUAUCACAAGUUCAAGGGUCCAGUUUUCUCCUUCACCGUGUCCAUGUG
This is a long non-coding RNA of Rosa chinensis, 547 nucleotides long. RefSeq lists it as uncharacterized. NCBI's taxonomy places the organism in Eukaryota, Viridiplantae, Streptophyta, Magnoliopsida, Rosales, Rosaceae. The record is from RefSeq and is a predicted model, not a curated record. The transcript has 5 exons.